Long non-coding RNA from Juglans microcarpa x Juglans regia, 829 nucleotides. RefSeq lists it as uncharacterized. NCBI's taxonomy places the organism in Eukaryota, Viridiplantae, Streptophyta, Magnoliopsida, Fagales, Juglandaceae. The record is from RefSeq and is a predicted model, not a curated record. The transcript is spliced from 2 exons.
CUCUUUCGCCCUGUGAAACGCGCGUUCUACCUUCAGAAGGAAGGGCCCAUUUUCAAAAUUGAUCAAACCUCCCACUCCCUGCGUUCAUGGCUUCUUCUUCCCCUUUGGCCAGCGCCCCGCCGUCUCCAGUUCGUGGAUUCUCUUCCGCAGAUUAGUACUUCAGUUCGUGGCUGAUGAUCACCUCCCCGCGUUCGCCCCACCGCUCGCGCUUCUUCUUCCCCAGUUGGUGAGAUUUGUCUGGCCGCCCCUCUGUCCAACUUCCCAGUUGUUGCACUAGUGUUGCAUGGGUGCUUGGAGGUGAUGGUGCUAUUGUUGUAGCUCAUACUGAUGGAAAUUUUUAUGUGUAUAAGAAGGCAAGUCUUGGACUUUCAUGAUUCAAUGUUGUUGUAGAUAGUGAGUUAAGCAUGUUUUAAUGAAAUUUUGUUUUGUACAGAAUUACACCGUAAAGUAAACUUCUUGCCAUAUUUUUGUAUUGCUUUUGAAUCCUAUUUUGUCAUGUGAAACGUUCGAACUGUGUGCAGGGGGAAGCAAUAUGUGAAUUCUUCGUAUGGGCGGAUAGACUUCAACUAAUAGAGGAGAACAUUCUGACAACAGAGAACCAAGAUUGGAAGAGGGAGGAUAAUGUAUUGUUGCACAAGUAUGAAGCUCGGAAAAAAAAGAUAAACUAAGAGAGAGACAACUGUUCACAAGGUUAAGGUCAAACUUGAAAAGCGGAGUGUCGUGCAUACGGAUAUGGUUGUGUUUGUAUUGAGUUGUAUCUAUUGAUUGUAUUUUUUCUGGUUGGUUUGGAUCAAAUAUGUAAAUAGCGGAAAGCAUCGUGUCAAAAUCA